UACGUAGGGGGCAAGCGUUGUCCGGAUUUAUUGGGCGUAAAGAGUGUGUAGGCGGUCCGGUAAGUCAGCUGUGAAAGUCAAGGGCUCAACCCUUGAAUGCCGGUUGAUACUGUCGGGCUAGAGUCCGGAAGAGGCGAGUGGAAUUCCCGGUGUAGCGGUGAAAUGCGCAGAUAUCGUGAGGAACACCAAUGGCGAAGGCAGCUCGCUGGGACGGUACUGACGCUGAGACGCGAAAGCGUGGGGAGCAAACAGG
This 253-nucleotide ribosomal RNA is filed under the name uncultured bacterium. RNAcentral's name for it is "partial 16S ribosomal RNA". It matches the Rfam family "Bacterial small subunit ribosomal RNA", at positions 524 to 776 of the family's 1533-position model. The record is from RNAcentral.